GUCUACAGCCAUAUUGCCUUGAACACUCCCGAUCUUAUCUGCUCUCAGAAACUAAGCAGGGUCAGGCCAGCUUAGUACUUGGAUGGAAGAAU
Molecule: ribosomal RNA, 92 nt
Filed under: Jaculus jaculus (lesser Egyptian jerboa)
Lineage: Eukaryota; Metazoa; Chordata; Mammalia; Rodentia; Dipodidae
Source: RNAcentral